This 289-nucleotide long non-coding RNA is filed under the name Prunus persica (peach). Its description in RNAcentral is "long non-coding RNA (PPER_LNC007476)". Lineage: Eukaryota; Viridiplantae; Streptophyta; Magnoliopsida; Rosales; Rosaceae. The record is from RNAcentral.
AGAAUAUUAGGUAUUAAUUAUUCACUUCCUUUUUUUCUCCCUCCCCCCCCCCCGGCCGCCGCCCUUUUUUUUUUUUUCUUUCUCAAAUAUGUAAUCCUUUGUACAGGGUUGUUUUACAAACAAUAAAAUGUAUUCAUUCUCGUAAAUCUUUUCUUAUGACUGUGAAUGAAACGUGUAGUUAUGUCUUUGUAUCCGAUAAAAUCAAAAUCAUAAGCUUUCAAGAAUAUCUUGAUGACAACUUACGUAUUACAGUAAGAUGGAUUUCCUUGGCCAAAUCGUGAUAGUUUCU